UUCUCUACAACUCAAUUGAACAAAUUUAUCUAUAAAUUGAUGAUCAAAUCCGAUACAACAUCUCUAAAAAGACUCAUUUAGCUAUAUUUCAACCUCUAAAUAUGGGUGGAAAAGUAAUUGCUUUCCUUAACAUUUUGGUCUUAAUAGUUCUCAUAAUGUCUACCCAUGUAGCUGUUGCUAGGGAACUUGCAGAGACCCCCAAUACCAAAAACUUGGCGAAAAAGAAGUCAUCACCCAUCAUCUAUAAAACAAUCCCACGCCGCCGCGAGUGUAAGUACAAGAAUAAAUGCAGCCGCGGUGGCAGAGGCAGGCCUCCUCUGGCCCAAACCGAACCCUGAGUAUCAAUGCCCGAAUAACCGAUGCUUGUAUCACAAAUAUUAAUCAAUUCCAAAUAAAAUAUUCCAAACUGUACUAGUGUGUUUAUGAAUAUAGACGAUAUAUGUAAUUUUAAGUGUGUUUCAGUUAACGGAGACUCUUGUCUAUUUCAUCA
Salvia hispanica is the source of this 490-nucleotide long non-coding RNA. RefSeq lists it as uncharacterized. Lineage: Eukaryota; Viridiplantae; Streptophyta; Magnoliopsida; Lamiales; Lamiaceae. The record is from RefSeq and is a predicted model, not a curated record.